AGAGUUUGAUCAUGGCUCAGAUUGAACGCUGGCGGCAUGCUUUACACAUGCAAGUCGAACGGUAACAGGUCUUCGGAUGCUGACGAGUGGCGAACGGGUGAGUAAUACAUCGGAACGUGCCUAGUAGUGGGGGAUAACUACUCGAAAGAGUAGCUAAUACCGCAUGAGAUCUAAGGAUGAAAGCAGGGGACCUUCGGGCCUUGUGCUACUAGAGCGGCUGAUGGCAGAUUAGGUAGUUGGUGGGAUAAAAGCUUACCAAGCCGACGAUCUGUAGCUGGUCUGAGAGGACGACCAGCCACACUGGGACUGAGACACGGCCCAGACUCCUACGGGAGGCAGCAGUGGGGAAUUUUGGACAAUGGGCGCAAGCCUGAUCCAGCAAUGCCGCGUGCAGGAUGAAGGCCUUCGGGUUGUAAACUGCUUUUGUACGGAACGAAAAGACUCUCUCUAAUACAGGGGGUUGAUGACGGUACCGUAAGAAUAAGCACCGGCUAACUACGUGCCAGCAGCCGCGGUAAUAC
RNAcentral lists this ribosomal RNA (521 nucleotides) under uncultured bacterium. Its description in RNAcentral is "bacterial SSU rRNA". It matches the Rfam family "Bacterial small subunit ribosomal RNA", at positions 8 to 526 of the family's 1533-position model. The record is from RNAcentral.